AUUGAACGCUGGCGGCAUGCUUUACACAUGCAAGUCGAACGGUAACAGGCCGCAAGGUGCUGACGAGUGGCGAACGGGUGAGUAAUGCAUCGGAACGUGCCCAGUCGUGGGGGAUAACUACUCGAAAGAGUAGCUAAUACCGCAUACGAUCUAUGGAUGAAAGCGGGGGACCGUAAGGCCUCGCGCGAUUGGAGCGGCCGAUGUCAGAUUAGGUAGUUGGUGGGGUAAAGGCUCACCAAGCCAACGAUCUGUAGCUGGUCUGAGAGGACGACCAGCCACACUGGGACUGAGACACGGCCCAGACUCCUACGGGAGGCAGCAGUGGGGUAUUUUGGACAAUGGGCGCAAGCCUGAUCCAGCAAUGCCGCGUGCAGGAAGAAGGCCUUCGGGUUGUAAACUGCUUUUGUACGGAACGAAACGGCUCUGGUUAAUACCCGGGGCUAAUGACGGUACCGUAAGAAUAAGCACCGGCUAACUACGUG
RNAcentral lists this ribosomal RNA (482 nucleotides) under uncultured bacterium. RNAcentral describes it as "partial 16S ribosomal RNA". It matches the Rfam family "Bacterial small subunit ribosomal RNA", at positions 30 to 507 of the family's 1533-position model. The record is from RNAcentral.